AUUGAACGCUGGCGGCAGGCCUAACACAUGCAAGUCGAGCGAAGGAAGGGAGCUUGCUUCUGGAUUCAGCGACGGACGGGUGAGUAAUGCCAAGGAAUCUGCAUGGUAGUGGGGGCUAACGUCCGGAAACGGACGCUCAUACCGCAUACGUCCUGAGGGCGAAAGUAGGGGAUCUUCGAACCUCACGCUAUCAGAUGAGCCUAGGUCGGAUUGGCUGGUUUGUGGGUUAAUGGCCUACCAAGGCGACGAUCGGUAACUGGUCCGAGAGGAUGAUCAGUGUCACCGGAACUGAAGCGUGGUCCAGAAUACUACGAGUGGCAGACGUGGCGAAUAUUGGAGAGUGGGAGAAGUGCUGAUCCAGGCAUGCCGCGUGUGUGAAGGAGGUAUUCGGAUUGUAAAACUCUUUAAGUUGGGGGGAAGUGCAGUAAGUUAAUACCUUGCUGUUUUGACGGUACUAACAGAAUAAGCACCGGCUAACUACGUG
RNAcentral lists this ribosomal RNA (484 nucleotides) under uncultured bacterium. RNAcentral's name for it is "partial 16S ribosomal RNA". It matches the Rfam family "Bacterial small subunit ribosomal RNA", at positions 30 to 507 of the family's 1533-position model. The record is from RNAcentral.